UACGUAGGGUGCGAGCGUUAAUCGGAAUUACUGGGCGUAAAGGGUGCGCAGGCGGUUUUGUAAGCCAGAUGUGAAAUCCCCGGGCUUAACCUGGGAACUGCAUUUGGGACUGCAAGGCUAGAGUGCGGCAGAGGGGGGUGGAAUUCCACGUGUAGCAGUGAAAUGCGUAGAUAUGUGGAGGAACACCGAUGGCGAAGGCAGCCCCCUGGGUCAGCACUGACGCUCAUGCACGAAAGCGUGGGGAGCAAACAGG
RNAcentral lists this ribosomal RNA (253 nucleotides) under uncultured bacterium. RNAcentral describes it as "partial 16S ribosomal RNA". It matches the Rfam family "Bacterial small subunit ribosomal RNA", at positions 524 to 776 of the family's 1533-position model. The record is from RNAcentral.